This 214-nucleotide unclassified non-coding RNA is filed under the name plant metagenome. RNAcentral describes it as "partial contains small subunit ribosomal RNA and internal transcribed spacer 1". The stretch from base 1 to 46 matches the Rfam family "Eukaryotic small subunit ribosomal RNA", at positions 1786 to 1831 of the family's 1831-position model. The record is from RNAcentral.
AAGUCGUAACAAGGUUUCCGUAGGUGAACCUGCGGAAGGAUCAUUACCUUUCUGGCUAUUUAAUAGCUUGUCUGGGGGCUGUAGUUUCUGCAGUCCCUGACUACAUCCGUGUUUUUGCGUACUACAUGUUUCCUCGGCGGGCUUGCCUCCGGCUGGUCGAACAAAACUAACUUCUUCAAUUGCAAUCAGCGUCUGAAUUAUAUAAUAAUUACAA